Molecule: long non-coding RNA, 4470 nt
Organism: Vicia villosa (hairy vetch)
Lineage: Eukaryota; Viridiplantae; Streptophyta; Magnoliopsida; Fabales; Fabaceae
Exons: 3
Source: RefSeq, a predicted model, not a curated record
CUUUCAGUGUUUCCUCCUCUUCUCUCAACCCUCAACCUUCAUCCCUCUCAAACUUCUUCUUCCUCCCUUCUCUCAAAUUACCUCAAAUUCAUGUCAAACUUCUAUUGAAAUUCUUCAUUAUAAACUGUUUAAGGAAUAAUAUUUGUGUUUGAAUGAGCAUUUGAAGAAGAUAGAGGAAGAUUUUCUGGAUUAAUAAGAACUUUAAGAGCGGUCAAUGAUGGGAGGCAAUGGACAAAUAGGUUUGAACUUCGCCGAAACCCAAUGACUAUUGCAUUUCCGUGAACGAACCUCUGAUGGUAGGUUAGUAUGUAAAUCUUACCUUAUACACUAGCGUUGCACUCGUCAGGUUAUUUGAAUCUCUAUCUUUCAAAGAGGUCAUUUUUACCUUGGCGGCAUCUGUUAUUUUGUCAUAUCAUUCACAAACAAUCUAUCUCUGGGUUUCAGGUGUUCUGAUAUUUCAUGACCAACUAAAUCCUUAGCUAGAACAUGAUUGUGAAUACCACAUCUAAUUGUUACCUUCCAACCAAUACUGCUUGAUACAAAUCUCAACAUAAAUGGACAUUUUACUCUUAUAAUACAAGUGACUUUAGAGGAAUUAUGGUUCUUAUAGUUUCCUCCCAUCUUAUAAUCCAAAAUAAAUUUUUCCCUCCUGCCUCUUUGUCUAUUUGGUGUAUCAAAACAUACAAUAACAAUGAUAAUACCAUGUUGUCUUCUAAUAGAAAGUGCCCAUAAUAACACUUAGAUCGAGAGAGAGAGAGAGAGAGAAAUGUCAGUCAAUUAAAACAUAUAAUGAAUGAAUCAAUCCUAGAUUCUAUAACUCAAUUAAAAAAUUUUAAAAGUUAAAUAAAACAAGUAAGUAAAACAUUCAAAGCCAGUGGUGAAGAAUAGGGUAAAAAUGAAAAUUUUUAAAAUACACCAAAUAUAAAAAAAAUGCAAAAUUUUCUUUUGGGUUAGUAAAAAGUCUAUCGUACUUUUAAAAUACCACUAUCAAAAAAAAAUUUAUUUUUUAUUGGUUCUUUAAGAGUGAAUUUUUUUUUUAAAAUGUGAUAAGGUAAAUAAUACCAAGGUUAAUUUUAUCAUAAUUGAAAAUUAUUGGGGUGUCUCGUAACAUCCUCCUUAAAUUCAUACUCGCGUAGGCUCUAACAUCUGUAUCCAUCGUUAGACUUGUGUUUAAAAAUAUAUAUAUAUCUAAGCACAUACUCUUGUAAGCACCAAAUUUUAUGCUCAUAAGAUUAUGCUUAAAUAUAUUGAAAAAUAUUUCUAGAGGAAAUCGAUAAAAUUCAUCAUUUUAAACAUUGUUAGUGAAUUAACUGGGUGGUGGAUUGACAUUUGUGGCUUUCGUAAUGUUUACAAUGAUCUUGUUAUGUUUAAAACUUACAAAGUUGUGAAAUUUAAGAAUGUGUUGUUGAGAAAUUGUCACACCACAAAAAUGGUUAUAGGUGGAGAUAUGAAAUUGCAAUUCACUUCUCUUCAAGUGGGCCUACUUUCGAGACAAGUCGUCUGGAAGAUAAUCAUAAGACUUAGCCUCAACAAAGAAGUAUCUCCGACACCAUAAUUUUGGGAAACUAUCCUUACAUUUAAGAGGCACCCCAGGUUAAAUGUAACACAUACUUACAUGGGGCACCUCAGUGAAGAGAGUGACCAAGUAGUACCAGUCUUUAAAAUUCUUCACGCUGUCAGAGUAAACCUCAAACAUCUUCUGACCCUACCUAAGGGAUAGCAAGCCUUGAUCCCGUGUUGAUUCAGCCGGGCAACGUUGAACUUUAAAAAGGUGGAAAAUGAGUUUUAAUAUUGACACACUUUUCUUGUAUUCACACCAAUACUAGAAGACUUUGACAUAAUCCCAAUUCACCGAAUGUAGUUGUAAGGAAAAGAACACCAAAUGAUUCAGAAUUCCUAUUUCAAAGUUGUUGAAAGGAAGGCAAAAACAUAUCAAAGAAAACAAUCAUUCAUGAAGAGGGAUAACACACCACUCAUAUUUGAUGCACACACUUUUAUCUUCUUCAAAGGAAAGUACCCUUUAGCCCGAAGGGGGACCCACCUCGAUGAAAAUAUGGUCCAAACUACCCUUACCAACAAAGAAGGAUAUGAAUACUAGAAUUUCGGGAACUUAUCCUUACAUUUUAGAGGCACCACGAGUUAAAUGUAACUCAUACUGGCAUGGGCCACCUCAGUGAGAGGAGUGACCAAGUAGUACCAUUCUUUAAAAUUCUUCACAUUGUUGGAGUAAACCUCAAACAUCUUCUGACCCAGCCUAAGGGAGAGCAAGCCUUGACCCCAUGUUGAGUCAUUCGAGCGACGUUGAACGUUCAAAAAGUGGAAAGGGAGUGUUAAGGUUGACACACUUUUCUUGUACUCACACCAAUACUGAAUGACUUUGACAAAAUCCCAACUCGCCAAAUGUCGUUGUAAGGAAGAGAUCUCCAGAUAAUUCAGAAUGCCUACUUCAAAGUUGUUGAAAGGAAUGUGAAAACAUAUCAAAGAAAAUAAAUAUUAAUGGAGAGGGAUGACAUACCCCUCAUAUUUGAUGCACACCUUUUUAUCUCCUUCAAGGGAAAGUACCCCUUAGUCCGAAAGGAGACCCACCAGGUGAAAAUAUGGUCUAAACUACCCUUACCAACAAAGAUGAAUACAACAUCUAAUAUUUCUUAAUCCAUUCACAUUACCGAGAUGUCUCUCAUCACAUUAUGUGUUCCUUGGCCAUAGUUGUCCAUCUCGGAAUUACUGCUAACACAUACAAAAAAUAACGGACAUGAGCAUAAGUAUGAGAUUGAGAUUCUAACCACCACCUCACCUCGCCAUCUGUAGGGUUGUAGCUAAAAGCAUGAUGAUGUGUUUUGAUAUAGGUAUGAGCCUUUCACUCCAGUUUAAAAUCAUCUAUAAUAAUGGGGUUCAUCAAGGGUAACAAAUGAAAAGCAAACCUCUAGUAACCUCUCUAAGAGCGAGACUAUCAGCUACCAUUCCAUAAUCGACCGCAGCCACUUCCUUCAAAUCCUCUAUCACCACAUUCUCAAGAAACCCUAACAAAGGAAAGAUAAGUACAUAAGAUAAAGGGACUUCGAAUCAUUACCUUGGAAGAAAGAAAUUUGAUUAUUUGCGUUGAAAAAAGUUCAUCAGAGAAGAUUAAGUAAAGACGUUAGAGUAAAUGAUGAUGGAUGACCGUUGACAAAGAGAAGGGGCAACUACAAAGAUCAGAGAAAAACUUUUGGAGUUUUAGAAAUGGAUAAAAUAUGUACAUUUACCCAUGAACCAUUAUUAUAUAUUAUUCAAGCAACCAUUCGAUCCUUGACAACUUGCAUGGGAAAAUGUGACCACAUGACCGACAGUCGUGAUCUCGCAUCCACAUCCUGAAAACGCUUGAGUACCUUAAGAUAAGAGGCAUCAUUACCAGAAAUCAUAGAGCCACAUGUUGCAACCUUCUAGUGAGGUGUUAUGAUUUACAAGGAAGACAUUCAAUUCACAUGAUUCUAAUGUUAUCGACAUCAUAGCUAUCUCACACCUUUCGACCAAGUGCUGCACUAGAAGCCCACAUGACAAAACUCCUUAGAAUACUCGAGUACCCUUAGAUAAAACAAAGGCAACAUUAUUUCCACUCCAACGGCUGGACGAGAGGGAUUAUCUAUUUUCUUCCAAACGAAAGUAUGUUGGGUCACUCUACCAUAACUUAAUUUGUCUAUGUUAUCAUACAUUUUACUUGUAAUUACACCAGAAAAUCAUAUCAUAAUCAGCGAACCAAAGUCAUGGGACAUAACAAGAAAAAUCAGAAAAAUAAUACAGAACAACUAAAUUUAGAAGUUAACUUUUGCAAUAUAGAAUAACAAAAUAGGGAAAUUAACUUUCGUGUCCUCCCGAAACCAGAACACGAAGAAAUAGAGCAUGCCCAAUUGCUCUUAGUUUAAAAAAAUCUACAUUCAUACUUCAUUAAACAACAUAUUAUAUGUUCAAAUAUAACAAAAUCAACCUCUUAUGCGUUUAACUUCAAACUAAUGCAUCAAAAACAAAAAGCAAAAAAAAAAGAAAAUGAAAAACUUACCAAAUGCGAGAAUUCGAAGAUUUUCGAUUGAAUGGAGUGAAGUAUAUGUUGAUUGAUGUCCUAAGCUUGAAUGUGAUGCAAUAGAAGUAGCGAUAAAGCUUAAAAAAUAAUGGAAGAAAUCGAUGGUUCCAUUUAUUUCUCUGAUGAUUUCUAUAUCCAUGAUGUCCUAUAUAUACCAACUUUCUUUGCAAAUUUAAUACCAUUAUCUCGUUUAUAUGCUUCUUUAGAUUGUACUUUAAUUUUUACUUCUACUCGUUAUCUCAUACAAUGGACUCAUACCUUGAUGAAGAUUGGUGCAGCUAGAAUUCAUCAAGGAUUAUACUCUCUGAUUUUACCAUCUUUACAUAAUCCUAUCAUCCCCAAUAAUGUUCCACAUCCCAAUAACCACCUUAUACACAAUUGUUUCCUGUGACAUAAUAGAUUAGGCCAUCCUUCUA